GAAGCCAGGACCUAUCAACUCUAUGAUCUUCACUAAGCCGGUACCAAAUAGGAUGGCCCAGACUGGAGUACGGAGUGGAUUCUACAGAGGCAUUGUGGGUCCAUUACCAGAUCCCUGACCUGACAAGCCCCUUUUGGAUUCUACAGAGGCAUUGUGGGUCCAUUACCAGAUCCCUGACCUGACAAGCCCCUUGUGGAAAGUGCCUUUGGGCUGGUGCAGGAGGGCAGUGUUCUGUCAUGUCAGCAGCCGGUUUUGACAACCCGGCACAUCACACUACACCGUGAUGCACCACCAACACCGCACUUGCCUCUGGAGGGUAUGACAUCAAGGAAACCCUGCUCGCUCAGACAGCCUGUGAUAUUUUCUCAAAUCGCUGCGCUGAACAAGUUUCCAAAGAACAUGCUGUGUGACACAAUAAAUAUCCUUUAACCUGUUAACCUGUGGCUUCUGGAAGAAACU
Molecule: long non-coding RNA, 459 nt
Organism: Oreochromis aureus
Lineage: Eukaryota; Metazoa; Chordata; Actinopteri; Cichliformes; Cichlidae
Source: Ensembl